AUGCUUAACACAUGCAAGUCGAACGAGAAAGUGGAGCAAUCCAUGAGUACAGUGGCGACCGGGUGAGUAACACGUGACUAACCUACCCUUGAGUGGGGGAUAACCCCGGGAAACCGGGGCUAAUACCGCAUAACAUCGCAAGAUCAAAGGAGCAAUUCGCUUGAGGAGGGGGUCGCGGCUGAUUAGCUAGUUGGUAGGGUAAUGGCCUACCAAGGCGAUGAUCGGUAGCCGGCCUGAGAGGGCGCACGGCCACACUGGAACUGAAACACGGUCCAGACUCCUACGGGAGGCAGCAGUGGGGAAUUUUGCGCAAUGGGGGAAACCCUGACGCAGCAACGCCGCGUGGAGGAUGAAGUCCCUUGGGACGUAAACUCCUUUCGACCCGGAAGAUCCUGACGGUACGGGUGGAAGAAGCACCGGCUAACUUCGUGCCAGCAGCCGCGGUAAUACGAGGGGUGCGAGCGUUGUUCGGAAUUAUUGGGCGUAAAGGGCGCGUAGGCGGUGCGGUAAGUCACCUGUGAAAUCUCCCGGCUCAACUGGGAGCUUGCAGGCGUAACUGCCGUGCUGGAGUGUGGGAGAGGUGCGUGGAAUUCCCGGUGUAGCGGUGAAAUGCGUAGAUAUCGGAAGGAACACCAGUGG
This 639-nucleotide ribosomal RNA is filed under the name uncultured bacterium. RNAcentral describes it as "bacterial SSU rRNA". It matches the Rfam family "Bacterial small subunit ribosomal RNA", at positions 44 to 715 of the family's 1533-position model. The record is from RNAcentral.